This 490-nucleotide ribosomal RNA is filed under the name uncultured bacterium. Its description in RNAcentral is "partial 16S ribosomal RNA". It matches the Rfam family "Bacterial small subunit ribosomal RNA", at positions 30 to 507 of the family's 1533-position model. The record is from RNAcentral.
AUUGAACGCUGGCGGCAGGCCUAACACAUGCAAGUCGAACGGUAACAGAAAGCAGCUUGCUGCUUUGCUGACGAGUGGCGGACGGGUGAGUAAUGUCUGGGAAACUGCCUGAUGGAGGGGGAUAACUACUGGAAACGGUAGUUAAUACCGCAUAACGUCGCAAGACCAAAGAGGGGGACCUUCGGGCCUUUUGCCAUCGGAUGUGCCCAGAUGGGAUUAGCUAGUAGGUGGGGUAAAGGCUCACCUAGGCGACGAUCCCUAGCUGGUAUGAGAGGAUGACCCGCCACACUGGAACUGAGACACGGUCCAGACUCCUACGGGAGGCAGCAGUGGGGAAUAUUGCACAAUGGGCGCAAGCCUGAUGCAGCCAUGCCGCGUGUAUGAAGAAGGCCUUCGGGUUGUAAAGUACUUUCAGUGGGGAGGAAGGGAGUAAAGUUAAUACCUUUGCUCAUUGACGUUACCCGCAGAAGAAGCACCGGCUAACUCCGUG